AACGCGAAGAACCUUACCCAGGCUCGAACGGCAGAUGACAUCCUACGAAAGUAGGCUCCCGCAAGGGCAUCUGUCGAGGUGCUGCAUGGCUGUCGUCAGCUCGUGUCGUGAGAUGUUGGGUUAAGUCCCGCAACGAGCGCAACCCUUGUCUUCUGUUGCCAUCGGGUCAAGCCGGGCACUCUGAAGAGACUGCCGGUGACAAACCGGAGGAAGGUGGGGAUGACGUCAAGUCAGCAUGGCCUUUAUGUCUGGGGCCACACACGUGCUACAAUGGCCGGUACAAACCGUUGCAAACACGCGAGGGUGAGCUAAUCGGAGAAAGCCGGUCUCAGUUCGGAUUGUAGGCUGCAACUCGCCUGCAUGAAGUUGGAAUCGCUAGUAAUCGCGGAUCAGCACGCCGCGGUGAAUACGUUCCCGGGCCUUGUACACACCG
Molecule: ribosomal RNA, 433 nt
Filed under: uncultured bacterium
Lineage: Bacteria
Description: bacterial SSU rRNA
Rfam family: Bacterial small subunit ribosomal RNA
Source: RNAcentral